AGAUUGAACGCUGGCGGCAUGCCUUACACAUGCAAGUCGAACGGCAGCACGGGAGCAAUCCUGGUGGCGAGUGGCGAACGGGUGAGUAAUAUAUCGGAACGUGCCCAGUUCGUGGGGGAUAACGCAGCGAAAGCUGUGCUAAUACCGCAUACGAUCUAUGGAUGAAAGCGGGGGAUCGACAAGA
Molecule: ribosomal RNA, 184 nt
Filed under: uncultured soil bacterium
Lineage: Bacteria
Description: partial 16S ribosomal RNA
Rfam family: Bacterial small subunit ribosomal RNA
Source: RNAcentral